GCCUGGGUGGCUCAGUCGGUUAAGCGUCAGACUUCAGCUCAGGUCACGAUCUCGCGGUCAGUGAGUUCGAACCCCGCCUCGGGCU
RNAcentral lists this transfer RNA (85 nucleotides) under Felis catus (domestic cat). It matches the Rfam family "tRNA". Rfam says of the family: Transfer RNA (tRNA) molecules are approximately 80 nucleotides in length. The record is from Rfam by way of RNAcentral. Lineage: Eukaryota; Metazoa; Chordata; Mammalia; Carnivora; Felidae.